This 253-nucleotide unclassified non-coding RNA is filed under the name uncultured Halomonadaceae bacterium. RNAcentral describes it as "contains 16S-23S intergenic spacer region". It matches the Rfam family "Bacterial small subunit ribosomal RNA", at positions 524 to 776 of the family's 1533-position model. Lineage: Bacteria; Pseudomonadati; Pseudomonadota; Gammaproteobacteria; Oceanospirillales; Halomonadaceae. The record is from RNAcentral.
UACGGAGGGUCCAAUCGUUAAUCGGAAUUACUCGGCGUAAAGCGCGCGUAGGUGACUUGAUAAGCCGGUUGUGAAAGCCACGGGCUCAACCUGGGAACGGCAUCCGGAACUGUCAAGCUCGAGUGCAGGAGAGGAAGGUAGAAUUCCCGGUGUAGCGGUGAAAUGCGUAGAGAUCGGGAGGAAUACCAGUGGCGAAGGCGGCCUUCUGGAAUGACACUGACACUGAGGUGCGAAAGCGUGGGUAGCAAACAGG